CAACAUACUGAGGUUAUUUCUUAUAUUAUACUUGAAGAAGCUGAAUAUAAACUAAGAGAUGCUAUCAGCAGCAAAGAGAAGGAACUGAUUGAAUUGAAACGAGAAAUAUCAAUGACUCAAGUA
Molecule: long non-coding RNA, 123 nt
Organism: Amphimedon queenslandica
Lineage: Eukaryota; Metazoa; Porifera; Demospongiae; Haplosclerida; Niphatidae
Exons: 3
Source: RefSeq, a predicted model, not a curated record